CGCCCGGCCAGGCCGGCCUUGGUGGUGGCGUUGUAGAUGUUCACGGUGACCGUGGCGGGCUGCGGGACGGCGUGCGGGUCGCCCUGGGCGGC
This 92-nucleotide transfer RNA is filed under the name Kitasatospora xanthocidica. Its description in RNAcentral is "tRNA-Tyr". The record is from RNAcentral. Lineage: Bacteria; Bacillati; Actinomycetota; Actinomycetes; Kitasatosporales; Streptomycetaceae.